Non-coding RNA from Pelobates cultripes (western spadefoot toad), 559 nucleotides. NCBI's taxonomy places the organism in Eukaryota, Metazoa, Chordata, Amphibia, Anura, Pelobatidae. The record is from the annotation of a GenBank genome assembly.
GCCUGUUGUUCCAGCAGGAUUUUCAGGUCAGUUGGAAGAGUCUGCAGAGUAAAUAUGGGAGUUUCUUCAUUUCCGGACACUCUUCUUUCCACUUCCUGUGGUUCUUUUGCAGCUUGUUUUGCAGCCUGAUCAGCUAGAUGGUUGCCCUUUGCUUCAUCUGAGUCCAACUUCCCAUGUGCUUUUAUCUUCAAAAUAGCCACUUCUUCUGGGAGUAGGAGGGCGUCCAUCAGCUCCUUGAUCGCGGAAUCGUGCUUGAUUGGUGUACCGGUGGUGGAAAGAAAUCCUCUUGUUUUCCAAAUUAAUCCGAAGUCGUGAGCCACGCCCAGUGCAUAUCUUGAAUCCGUGUAGAUAUUGGCGCGCUUUCCUUCAGAGAUCUUGCAUGCUGAAGUCAGGGCUUGCAAUUCAGCUUCUUGUGCAGACAUAGUUGAUGGUAAAGAUGAUGAUUUGACAAUUUCAUCUGUUGUGGUUACGGCAUAUCCUGUAUGGUAUCUUCCUUCUUCAUCAGCAUAUCUUGAGCCGUCCACAAACAGGGUGAGAUCGGGAUCUACCAAUGGGUCUU